GAAAAACUCAUCUUUUGAGGAGAAAUUCAAGCUGCAGAAAUUUGCAUAAGUAGCUAGGAGCCUAAUGUUAAUCCCCAAGACCACGGGGAAAAUGUCUCCAGGCCAUGUCAGAGACCUUCAGAGCAGCCCCUCCCAUCACAGGCCCAGAGGCUGAAGAGGAAGAGAAGUGACUUUCACCUCCUGCCAUGCUUCUGAGGGCUCCCCAGCCAUGUGGAACUAUGGUGCCUUAUUCCAAGAUUUCAGUGUACAAUGCUCAAGUUCAGUGAACUUUCCAAGAUUACUAUGCAUUUCCCAAGGAGAAGAGACAUACAAAAAUUACUCUGCCAAUUACAUAUGCUAGUUUCAUUAAUACCUUCAUUUAAUUGACUGGGAUUUAUGAAAGAUCUAGUAAUGAAGCCAUACUGUGCCAUAACUUAUCCCACCUUGCAAGAAGAAAACGGAAGCUCAGAUGGAUUAAAACUAUAUGCUCUCUGGGGCAGGGACGGGGUCUGUUUUGUUCUUCAGUGUAUUUUCAUGGCCCUACACAGUGUAGUGUGGUGGUAAUAGAGCACAGCCAUUUGGAGCUCAGUGUCUGGAGUCAGACAGACCUGGCUUGGGGCAGAAGCCUCAGGUGAGGAAACAGGUUAGGCUUUAAAAAUAAAGACUUAAAGGUGAACAUGUAUUACAGGUAAUAUCUCAGUUUCCUCACCUCUUAAAAUGAUAUGAAUAUCUAAUAAAGUGUUGGAUAAUGAAAUAAUACAUGUAAUGUGAUCAAAUAGUGUCUGUUACAUAGCUAACAUUUAUUAAUAAAAUUCUCAUCAUUAUCCUUAUCUGGCACUUGGCAUCAUUAUAAAAUGAAUGGCUGAA
This 846-nucleotide long non-coding RNA is filed under the name Homo sapiens (human). RNAcentral's name for it is "HSALNT0042399". Lineage: Eukaryota; Metazoa; Chordata; Mammalia; Primates; Hominidae. The record is from RNAcentral.